CUUCCGUGCUGUGUCUGUGAGGCAGGACCCACAGGUUUUGCACCAGCUGACUUUCGGCAUUUUUUAAAAAAGGCAGACCCCGAUGCAGAGCGUGUUGCACUAGUCUAUUGUGGAUAUAACUAGUCAUGAAACCUUAGGCAGCAUAUGUGUGAUUCUCAGGUGGUCACCCCUCCAGGCAGUCACCAGACCUGCAGGCUGGAGCAAGAUAAUGUGCCUUCAGAUUUGACCCUUCACUUCAGAAAGAGGUCUGAGAAAUGAGUAAGAGAAAGAAGAUUCUCUACCCUUUGUGUCUACCCUGUGGGCUGCUAUAAACUCACUUUGACAGCCAACCCAGUUCCAGUGUAGAGGCAACAUUCUACCUUGGAUGACUUAUACAGUCGGGGAAACUUUUAUGAUUUUUUGAUUAUGUAGA
Molecule: long non-coding RNA, 412 nt
Organism: Rhineura floridana
Lineage: Eukaryota; Metazoa; Chordata; Lepidosauria; Squamata; Rhineuridae
Exons: 4
Source: RefSeq, a predicted model, not a curated record